Molecule: long non-coding RNA, 7740 nt
Filed under: Salmo salar (Atlantic salmon)
Lineage: Eukaryota; Metazoa; Chordata; Actinopteri; Salmoniformes; Salmonidae
Description: lncRNA (ENSSSAG00000116009.1)
Source: RNAcentral
AUUGUUUAGGGGUUAUUGUUUAUUGGUUUUGUUGGGGUAUUGGGGAUUUUUUGUUGUGUUUUCUUUUUGUAAGGUGCAUUACGGGGUCUGCGCCUUGAGGGGGGGGGGGGUACUGUCACAUCCUCACAUCCCCAUGGUUGUGGGUAAUUGUUUCUGUUCAGUGUGUUAUGCUGUCAGUACUGUUGAGCUGUCGGUAUUUUCUUGUUUUGUAGUGUUCCAGUGAUCUUUUUUUUAAUUAAAUGAUGCUGAACACUAACUCUGCUGCAUUUUGGUCCCUUUCUGAAGACAGCUGUGACACAUGCUGGUUAAAUCGUGUACGUUUUUUAUCCGGCUGUGAAAAUACUGCCCCCUAUCCAUAACAGGUUAAGGAUCGUACCCUUUUUUAAAAUGUUCACUUAAAAUGGCAUACCCAAAUCUGACUGCCUGUAGCUCAGGACCUGAAGCAAGGAUAUGCAUUUUCUUGAUACCAUUUAAAUGGAUAAACUUGGAAUUUUAUGGAAAUGUGAAAUUAAUGUAGGAUAAUAUAACACAUUAGAUCUGGUAAAAGAUAAUACAAAGAAAAAUAGAACCGUUUUUUCUUCAUCAACUUUGAAAUGCAAGAGAAGGCCAUAAUGUACUAUUCCAGAUUAGGCACAAUUUAGAUUUUGGCCACUAGAUGGCAGCAGUGUAUGUGCAAAGUUUUAGACUGAUUCAAUGAACCGUGGCAUUUCUCUUGAAAAUGUUGUAUCAAGACUGCCCAAAUGUGUCUAAUUGGUUUAUUAAUACAUUUAAGUUCAUAACUGUACACUCUCCUCGAACAAUAGCAUGUUAUUAUUUCACUGUAAUAGCUACUGUAAAUUGGACAGUGCAGUUAGAUUAACAAGAAUUUAAGCUUUCUGCCAAUAUCAGCUAUGUCUAUGUCCUUGGAAAAUGUCUUGUUACUUACAACCUCAUGCUAAUCACAUUAGCCUAGGUUAGCUCAACCGUCCCGUGGGGGGGACACCGAUCCCGUAGAGGAUGCAGUCAGUUUUAAAAUGGGUAGCCAGUAAUAAACUGUUCCUGAACAUCUCUGAAACUAAGCGCACUGUAUUUGGUAAAAAUCAUUCCCUAAGCUCUAGACCUCAGCUGAAUCUGGUAAUGAAGGAUGUGGCUUUUGAGCAAGUUGAUGAGACUAAAUUACUUGCCAUUACCUUACUGUCAUGGUCAAAACAUAUAGAUUCAAUGGUUGUAAAGACAGGGAGAGAUAUGUCCAUAAUAAAGCGAUGCUCUGCUUUUUUGACACCACACUCCAAAAAGCAAGUCCUGCAGGCUCUCGUUUUGAUUUAUCUUAAUUACUGUCCAGCCAUGUGGUCAAGUGCUACAAUGAUAGACCUAUUUAAGCCGCAGCUGGACCAGAACAGAGCACCACGUCUUGCUCCUUAUUGUAACUAAGAGUCUAUGAGGAAGUCUUGUCAACUUCCUUCCACCUUCAAUUCUCAUGUUGUUUGGAACUGGCCUUUGAGCAAGGCCCUUAACCCUAAUUGCCUCUGUAAGUCGCUCUGGAGAAGAGCAUCUGCUAAAUGACUAAAACAAUUCUUAUGAAAAACAACAAAUACUUAGAUCUGCCUCCUAAACGUACUGUAGGUCUGCCCCCUAUUCCGUAUGUAGUGCACUGAUUUGUGCAGGCCCCUUUACGGAAUAGGUUGGAGGAACAGAUGCUUCCCUGAUUCCUGAACGGAUGGAGCGUGUGACAAUAGCAUGAUUGAUUAUAGUUGGAGCACUGGAUUUUCUUGGACACUUGCUCACUUGAUAGGAUGUUAGUUAGAUGAAUAGCCACAUCACCUAACCAGCCUGCCUUGUGCGGCAGGUAGCCUAGUGGUUAGAGAGUUGGACUACUAACCGAAAGGUUGAGAGAUCAAAUCCCUGAGCUGACAAGGGUAAAAUCUGUCGUUCUGCCCCUGAUCUGGUCUACGUUUUAGGUUUACACCUGGAAAUACAGAACCAGCAACAAUGGAGACCGCUUCAUAUCUUCCUUUAGGAUGAAGAGAUCGUUCAAAGAAAAAUUACCCCACGGUGUCGAUAGAUAUAGCAAAAUACUUUUAGCUUUAAAUGAAAAUUGCAGUCAUUCAACUCAAGAGAUAUCUGUUCAAGUCCCGUGAUUUGCUGUGUGGAUACACAACACUUUCAUCUCCCACAAAAGCUGACAUGAAUGGAUAGGCUCUAUUAACUGAGAUGGCGAGGCCUUAGGCUGGACUGUAACUACUGCUAUCAAUCCAUACAGCUGCUCUAUCAAGUUCAAUGAAAGAACUGAAUUGUCUGUCCUUUCUAAAAAAUAAAACAUAAUCAAACCUACUGCGUUAUUGUUUUUCUGUAAUUAACUCGAUGUUAGACUCACAUUCAAUUUUUGAUGUUGUGAAAUUAGUGCAGAUAUUAUGAAGAAGUGUAUUGUCAUUUCUAAUGUGGUCUGUAUAGCCAUUCAUCUCUAUGAUUAUAGUUGAUGGUGUUUUAACCUGAUAGUGAUUACAGCUGAUGUUGUUUUAACCUGACUGUGAUUAUAGUUGAUGGUGAUGUAACCUGACUGUGAUUAUAGUUGAUGGUGAUGUAACCUGACUGUGAUUAUAGUUGAUGGUGUUUUAACCUGACUGUGAUUAUAGUUGAUGGUGUUUUAACCUGACUGUGAUUUUAGUUGAUGGUGUUUUAACCUGACUGUGAUUACAGCUGAUGGUGUUGCAGCCUGACUGUGAUUAUAGUUGAUGGUGUUUUAACCUGACUGUGAUUAUAGUUGAUGGUGAUGUAACCUGACUGUGAUUACAGCUGAUGGUAUUGCAGCCUGACUGUGACCUAUAGUUGAUGGUGUUUUAAAACCUCUUUGGGAAAUGUGGGACGCUAGUGAAAUAGCAGAGCCAGUGAAAUAGCAGAGCGCCAAAUUCAAAACAACAAAAAUCUCAUAAUUCACAUUUCUCACACAUACAAGUAUUAUACACCAUUUUAAAGACAGACUUCUCGUUAAUCCAACCACAGUGUCCGAUUUCAAAAAGGCUUUACGGCGAAAGCAUAACAUUAGAUUAUGUUAGGACAGCACCUAGACAAGAAAAACCACACAGCCAUUUUCCAAGCAAGGAGAGGCGUCACAAAAAACAGAAAUACAGCUAAAAUGAAUCACUAACAUUUGAUGAUCUUCAUCAGAUGGCACUCAUAGGACUUCAUGUUACACAAUACAUGUAGGUUUUGCUCGAUAAAAUUCAUAUUUAUAUCCAAAACCCCCAUUUUACAUUGGCGUAUAAUGUUCAGAAAUGUUUUGCUUCCAAAACUACCGGUGAAUGAGCACAUCAAUUUACAGAAAUACUCAUCAUAAACUUUGAUAAAAGAUACAAGUGUUAUGCACAGAAUUAUAGAUAAACUACUUCUUAAUCCAACCGCUGUGUCAGAUUUCAAAAAAGCUUUACGGCGAAAGCACACUUUGCAAUAAUCUGAGUACAGUGCUCAGUCACCAAAACAAGCCAUACAGAUACCCGACAUGUUGUGGAGUCAAAAAAAGUCAGAAAUAGCAUUAUAAAUAUUCACUUACCUUUGAUGAUCUUCAUCGGAAUGCACUCCCAGGAAUCCCAGUUCCACAAUAAAUGUUUGUUUUGUUCGAUAAAGUUCAUCUUUAUGUCCAAAUACCUCCAUUUUGUUUGCGAGUUUAGUCCAGCAUUCCACAUUCACUAAGUGUGUGAGUUUAGUCCAGACGAAAAUUCAAAAUAGUUACAUUACAGUGCGUAGAAACAUGUCAAACGAUAUAUAGAAUCAAUCUUUAGGAUGUUUUUAUCAUAAAUAUUCAAUAAUAUUCCAACCGGACAAUUCCUUAGUCUUUACAAUUGAAAGGAAAGACAGCACGCUCCCACAACUUUAAUUGCAGUAGGUACCUUUUACAACUUGAGAUGCAGUAGGUACCUUUUACAACUUGAGAUGCAGUAGGUACCUUUUACAACUUGUGAUGCAGUAGGUACCUUUUACAACUUUAAUUGCAGUAGGUACCUUUUACAACUUGAGAUGCAGUAGGUUCCGUGUGCUCCCUCUCAGGCCUCUAGGUCACGAGGCUCUCGUUAUGACGCACACCUGUCACCAGCGUUACAUGCAUAAUGACACUCACCUGGACUCUAUCACCUCCUUGAUUACCUGCCCUUUAUAUGUCACUCCCUUUGGUUGUGACAUGUAACAAGUUGUCAUUGUUCCUGUUUCAUGUCGGUGGGCUGUUCGUGUUUCUUGUUUUUGUUCAUUUAUUAAUUAAAUGUAUUCACUCCCUGAACUUGCUUCCUGACUCUCAGUGUACAUGGUUACAGUAGGUUUGCACUAGAUACCUUGUAUUACUUGUAUGUGCAGGAGAGCUGUGAGAGAACAUAUUUCCAGAAUUGAAAAAAAUACAUAAAAAAAAAUGAAUUACAACUGUUGUUGAGUGAAUGUGUGGUCGUACCCUUUGGUAUAAUUUAUUAAAAAGGUGCAGUGCCAUUCUCAUUGAUGUAUAACAAAGGGAUGGUAAUGUCAUUUUCAUUUCACUGGUGCUGUGUUUGAAUAUGAAUUCAUUAACGCUCUGUUAGUGGAGAAAAUGAAUGGCUAUAGUACCACUGAAGCUUUAUAAUGAACAAUCCCUAAAACUUGGCCUGCUGUCCAUCAUCUUUAACAGAAUACAUGUUACUGCCAUGUGUGGAAUUUCACAAAUUCUUCUAUCUCAGUGAAAUGUCCCCCAAUAAAAUGCGUAUGACGCUACCAUAACUUAUAUUGAUUGGUCUAAAUGUUAAUGUCUUUAGAGCCGAGAAAUCGGAUAUUUCAGCAUUAAACCAGCGAUAAAGCAUUUAACAUUAUAAUGAUAUUUACCAACAGCUGUUAUUCAAAUGUUCCCCUGGGGGCAACCAUUCUACCGUAUUUUACCCCAGUUGUUGUCUUUAUUGAUUUACUCAACAACAAAAAUCGACAAAAAUUUUAUUCAGUAGAGAUGUUCCUUGAUGAUAUUUUCAUCUUUAAAGGGCAAACAAAGCCAACGUUGCCCCAUUAGAUGCAUUAUAUUACAUACAUAGGAACAAUGCCCAUCUAAAACCCUUUGCUACUAAAAAUUCCCCUCGUUAACAGAUUCAUUUAUAAGAAUCUAAUAAUCCAAAUUUAGCACACAAAAACAUUCCCCAACUACACUUAGGUCAUAUAGUUGUGAAACAUAACUGUAAGCCGAUGGUGCCUAACCAUUGAUGAAGAAUUAUGGGUUUAUUCUUAUUGGUUAUAACAUGAAAGCCUUGAUAACUUCUUUCCUAAAAAGCACCAGUGUUUCAUCAAAGAGGGACGUAUUUAUGUACGUUAGCUUUGCAUGGUGCUAUGUUAGCGGCUGUUCCCAUAAUUGUUUCAUUAAAACCAGUUGCUUUGUGUUUCCUAGAGUAAUUAAGCAGUUGGAAUUUUACAUUACACUAGUGAAAAUUAACAAAGAGCACAUCUGGGUGUCCCAUAGGUUUAGUCAUUAAAAAGACCAUUAUUUUUCAAAUUACUUUCUCAAUCUUUCUGCCCCACUAAUCCUAAGGUAUUUCCCCAUGGAUACUUGCUGUUCCUGUUUUUUGAAUGACUCCUUUAGGGAAGUUAACAUUUAGAGACCGUAUGGCCUAUUCUGGCUGCUCCUCUGUGCAGUGAACCCUAUUUUCACUGGCAGCCAUGAUGGUUAGGGAACUGACAAUCGCCAGGCUUGCAGGUGUCAGUUCCAAAUCAUUUGGGGCCCAUUUAAAGUGGGCUACUCAGUCCUUGCCAUUAUCUAUCUCUGUCUGGUGUAGUUAAUUACAUCUCAUUCAUUCUGACUUCAGAAGUUUAAUGCAAGUAUUUGUAACCACUUAUUUGUAAUAUCUUAUGGCUGAAAAUCUGCUUCAGGGAUUCACCUGCUGUCAAUACAUUGGAAGUUUUCUGUCAGUUCUGACGCUGUAACGCCUGCUUGUGUAUUCCUAUAGAGUCGAAGCCUUACACACUAAAAAAUGUGGGUUCCUCAAGGGCUCUUUGGGAAGAGAGAUGUUUUUUUUUAUGUGGAACCAUACUGACCAAAAAACCCUUUGAGCCCUCCAAUGUUUUUGUGCAGUUCAAAAAAAGGGUUCUUUCCACUUUUAGUGAUAAUGAAAAUGUAGAGACGGUGGAUCGUUAGAAUUUAUUCUGGGGGCGUGGUUUGCUCACAGCUCUUUUUGUGCAACCGUGAGUGAAAGUGUCAUUCCAGUUUAUCUAAUCUGUUGUGUUAUGCAGUUAAAUGUUAUAUAAGACUAUAGCCAGUGAUGGUGUCUUGUGGAAGACUCACCUUGUGUCAAUUGAGAACGCUUGAGUAAGUCAGUAGUUCUCAAUUCUCUCCUCAGGGACCCCCAGCCAUUCCAGGCCUAGCACACCUGAUUCAACUAGUUAAUAAACACAAUAAUAAAACCUAUGGAAUUUUAACAAUAUAUUAUGGCUAUUAAACCAGAAUACAUUUUAAAAAACUUGAUGGUUCUACAAACAAACUUUUAGUAUUUAUGCUGCAGUAGUUUAUGUGUCGGGGGGCUAGGGUCAGUCUGUUACAUCUGGAGUAUUUCUCUUGUCUUAUCCGGUGUCCUGUGUGAAUUUAAAUAUGCUCUCUCUAAUUCUCUCUUUCUCUCUUUCUUUCUUUCACUCGGAGGACCUGAACCCUAGGACCAUGCCUCAGGACUACCUGGCAUGAUGACUCCUUGCUGUCCCCAGUCCACCUGGCCGUGCUGCUGCUCCAGUUUCAACUGUUCUGCCUGUGGCUAUGGAACCCUGACCUGUUCACCGGAUGUGCUUGUUGCACCCUCGACAACUACUAUGAUUAUUAUUAUUUGACCAUGCUGGUCAUUUAUGAACAUUUUAACAUCUUGACCAUGUUCUGUUAUAAUAUCCACCCGGCACAGCCAGAAGAGGACUGGCCACCCCUCAUAGCCUGGUUCCUCUCUAGGUUUCUUCCUAGGUUUUGGCCUUUCUAGGGAGUUUUUCCUAGGGAGUUUUUCCUAGCCACCGUGCUUCUUUCACAUGCAUUGCUUGCUGUUUGGGGUUUUAGGCUGGGUUUCUGUACAGCACUUUGAGAUAUCAGCUGAUGUACGAAGGGCUAUAUAAAUACAUUUUAUUUUAUUUGAUUGAGAAAGGUUCUUUAUAGAACCAUUCUCCGUACAGGUUCAAUUAAGAACCAUGAAAAAUUAUUCUAUUUAGCCCCCAAAAAGUCUGUAACCAUAGCGGAACCUUUUUUUUGGUGCUGUAUAGAACUUUUUAUUAACGGUUCUUUAUAGAACCUUAGGAAAGUGUUCUUUAUAGCAUUGUGCAGGUUCCAUUUAGAACCUUAUGAGAAUGUUUUUUUUUUUAAAGUUCAGUGAAAAAAGGGUUCCGCUAUGGUUACAAGCCAACAAAGCCUUAUUUGGCACUACAUAAAACAAUUUGCUUUUAGUGUGUUGACCGCUGGGGUUCAUGACCAUAUGACACUUGUGGAGACAGUGAGUACCCGGCGUUGAGGGAUAUAACAAGACAUUCAUGAAUAAUAACAUGAAUGCAUACCUGACUGAGUAUCUACAAGGUCUAUGCUAUCAAUACAAGAGUAGCCCGUUGCUGCUGUGUGGAAAAGCACUUGUUUUCCGUCUGUGCCUCUGAGACGGAAAUUCUUAUGAACACAACAGUUGCUGAUGAAAUUACUUUUUAAAGCUGCUUUCAUUCAUACACACACACACACACACACACACACACACACACACACACACACACACACACACACACACACACACACACACACACACACACACACACACACACACA